GUCUCACUGAAGUCAAUGGGACUUCCAUCCACUGCAUUGAAUGGCUGUGGGAAAGCUCUUGAGUACUUAAUUCCAGAAGUACUCAGACCCUUUCAGAGCAAUCUUUGGGACAAAAGAAGUGUUGGGAGGAAGCAAACGAUCACAACAAUGGACUGACAGUGGACCACCACGGUGCUAGAAGGCUAGAUGACACUGAAGAUCAAAGGCUAGAUGACACUGAGGAUUGGCAAAUAAGGCUGUGUCUGUCUGGCAACCUUUGGAGGUGGAUAGGAUAAUGAAUUUGGGAUGUAACGGAUAUGUAAUACAUGUGAAAAUAUAACCUGUUCAUUUCUUGGAGAUCAUUUCUUGGAGAGUUAUCUUGAUGCUACCCCAGGGUUGCCAAUAAAGAAUACCUUGCUUAAGGGUAACA
RNAcentral lists this long non-coding RNA (409 nucleotides) under Numida meleagris (helmeted guineafowl). RNAcentral's name for it is "lncRNA (ENSNMEG00000005102.1)". The record is from RNAcentral. Lineage: Eukaryota; Metazoa; Chordata; Aves; Galliformes; Numididae.